UGCUCUUCCCUGCCAGAAGACUCCGGCAACUGCGGUAACCCCCAAACAUCCGGCAAUAAGACCCGGAGCAACACGAAGGAGGAAGCAGAACAUGGCACAGGGCAAGGUAAAAUGGUUCAACGACGCAAAGGGUUUCGGUUUCAUCGAGCAGGAAAAUGGCGACGAUGUAUUCGUGCACUUUUCCGCCAUCCAGGGAGAAGGUUUCAAGUCGCUGGCAGAGGGCCAGGCGGUGACAUUCGAUGUCAUCAAUGGACCUAAAGGGCUUCAGGCUUCCAACGUUCGCAAGAUCUAAAUCAAAAUUCUCCCGAUCAAUCACAAGGCCCUGACGGAACAACCGCCAGGGCCUUUAUA
Molecule: small RNA, 351 nt
Filed under: Geobacter sp. OR-1
Lineage: Bacteria; Pseudomonadati; Thermodesulfobacteriota; Desulfuromonadia; Geobacterales; Geobacteraceae
Description: cspA thermoregulator
Rfam family: cspA thermoregulator
Source: Rfam by way of RNAcentral